AUUGAACGCUGGCGGCGUGCUUAACACAUGCAAGUCGUGCGGUAACAGGCGUAGCAAUACGUGCUGACGAGCGGCGAACGGGUGCGUAAUACAUGGGAAUCUGCCCUUUAGUGGGGAAUAACCCGGCGAAAGCCGGGCUAAUGCCGCAUAAGAUCUUCGGAUGAAAGCGGGGGAUCGUAAGACCUCGCGCUGAUGGAUGAGCCCAUGUCGGAUUAGCAGUUGGUGAGGUAACGGCUCACCAAGGCGACGAUCCGUAGCUGGUCUGAGAGGACGGUCAGCCACACUGGGACUGAGACACGGCCCAGACUCCUACGGGAGGCAGCAGUGGGGAAUAUUGGACAAGUGGGGAAACCCUGAUCCAGCGACGCCGCGUGUGUGAAGAAGGCCUGCGGGUUGUAAAGCACUUUCGGUGGGAACGAAU
This 421-nucleotide ribosomal RNA is filed under the name uncultured bacterium. RNAcentral's name for it is "bacterial SSU rRNA". It matches the Rfam family "Bacterial small subunit ribosomal RNA", at positions 30 to 450 of the family's 1533-position model. The record is from RNAcentral.